Molecule: long non-coding RNA, 160 nt
Organism: Etheostoma spectabile (orangethroat darter)
Lineage: Eukaryota; Metazoa; Chordata; Actinopteri; Perciformes; Percidae
Exons: 3
Source: RefSeq, a predicted model, not a curated record
AGGUGUAACACAUCAGGGUGGGGCAGACAAUCAAACAGGAGGAAAAGCAAGACAGGAAGUAAAACAAGACAAGACAAGGGAGAAAAACAGAGACUUCAAAAUAAAACAGGAAACACUAACAACAGAAACUCACAAUCGUGACAUUUCGCCGACACACAAC